GCUCAGGAUGAACGCUAGCGGCAGGCUUAACACAUGCAAGUCGAGGGGUAUAUGUCUUCGGAUAUAGAGACCGGCGCACGGGUGCGUAACGCGUAUGCAAUCUACCUUUUACAGAGGGAUAGCCCAGAGAAAUUUGGAUUAAUACCUCAUAGCAUUAUGAAGUGGCAUCACUUUAUAAUUAAAGUCACAAACGAGAAGAAUGAGCAUUACUCGUAGGAGCUUGACGGUAAGGUAACGGCAAGGCAAGGCAACGUCC
RNAcentral lists this ribosomal RNA (256 nucleotides) under Flavobacterium sp. RNAcentral's name for it is "partial 16S ribosomal RNA". It matches the Rfam family "Bacterial small subunit ribosomal RNA", at positions 22 to 281 of the family's 1533-position model. The record is from RNAcentral. Lineage: Bacteria; Pseudomonadati; Bacteroidota; Flavobacteriia; Flavobacteriales; Flavobacteriaceae.